ACGGAAGGCAGCAGUGGGGAAUAUUGCACAAUGGGCGAAAGCCUGAUGCAGCGACGCCGCGUGAGUGAAGAAGUAUCUCGGUAUGUAAAGCUCUAUCAGCAGGGAAGAAAAUGACGGUACCUGACUAAGAAGCCCCGGCUAACUACGUGCCAGCAGCCGCGGUAAUACGUAGGGGGCAAGCGUUAUCCGGAUUUACUGGGUGUAAAGGGAGCGUAGACGGUUUGGCAAGUCUGAAGUGAAAUGCGGGGGCUCAACUCCUGAACUGCUUUGGAAACUGUCGAACUAGAGUGCAGGAGAGGUAAGUGGAAUUCCUAGUGUAGCGGUGAAAUGCGUAGAUAUUAGGAGGAACACCAGUGGCGAAGGCGGCUUGCUGGGCUUUAACUGACGCUGAGGCACGAAAGUAUGGGGAGCAAACAGGAUUAGAUACCCUGGUA
Molecule: ribosomal RNA, 434 nt
Filed under: uncultured Clostridium sp.
Lineage: Bacteria; Bacillati; Bacillota; Clostridia; Eubacteriales; Clostridiaceae
Description: partial 16S ribosomal RNA
Rfam family: Bacterial small subunit ribosomal RNA
Source: RNAcentral